Molecule: ribosomal RNA, 107 nt
Filed under: Saimiri boliviensis boliviensis (Bolivian squirrel monkey)
Lineage: Eukaryota; Metazoa; Chordata; Mammalia; Primates; Cebidae
Source: RNAcentral
GUCUACGGCCAUACCACCCUGAAUAUGCCUGGUCUUGUCUGAUCUCGAAGCUAAGCAGAGUCAGGCCUGGUUCGUACUUAGAUGGGAGAAAAUUGUUGUUCUUUUCA